CAGCUCUGGGGGCCGUUGUUCGGUGCUGGGGCUGACAGAGGAGGCUCGGUGUCUACAGCUAGCAAGUCAACGUUUCUCCUCUUGUCCCUGGUGAGGUGUAGCGGCGGCACACGGCUG
RNAcentral lists this microRNA precursor (117 nucleotides) under Callithrix jacchus (white-tufted-ear marmoset). RNAcentral's name for it is "microRNA cja-mir-9956 precursor". The record is from miRBase by way of RNAcentral. Lineage: Eukaryota; Metazoa; Chordata; Mammalia; Primates; Cebidae.